UACGAAGGGGACUAGCGUUGUUCGGAAUCACUGGGCGUAAAGCGCACGUAGGCGGAUGUGUCAGUCAGGGGUGAAAUCCCGGGGCUCAACCUCGGAACUGCCUUUGAUACAGCACGUCUCGAGUCCGGAAGAGGUGGGUGGAAUUCCUAGUGUAGAGGUGAAAUUCGUAGAUAUUAGGAAGAACACCGGUGGCGAAGGCGGCCCACUGGUCCGGUACUGACGCUGAGGAGCGAAAGCGUGGGGAGCGAACAGG
This 253-nucleotide ribosomal RNA is filed under the name uncultured bacterium. RNAcentral describes it as "partial 16S ribosomal RNA". It matches the Rfam family "Bacterial small subunit ribosomal RNA", at positions 524 to 776 of the family's 1533-position model. The record is from RNAcentral.